Molecule: ribosomal RNA, 254 nt
Filed under: uncultured bacterium
Lineage: Bacteria
Description: partial 16S ribosomal RNA
Rfam family: Bacterial small subunit ribosomal RNA
Source: RNAcentral
UACGUAGGGUGCGAGCGUUGUCCUGAAUUAUUGGGCGUAAAGAGCUCGUAGGCGGUCUGUCGCGUCGGUCGUGAAAACUUGGGGCUUAACCCUGAGCUUGCGGUCGAUACGGGCAUGACUGGAGUUCGGCAGGGGAGACUGGAAUUCCUGGUGUAGCGGUGAAAUGCGCAGAUAUCAGGAGGAACACCGGUGGCGAAGGCGGGUCUCUGGGCCGAUACUGACGCUGAGGAGCGAAAGCGUGGGGAGCGAACAGG